UACCUAUAAGAUUCUAAGCCUCCUAAGGCCAAUGAAAGAUGACUUUUAUUUGUUUUAAUGAUUGUAUUUCAGGAGUUUCAUAUGACCUGGCCAAGAUGUUGACCAUUUGCUAAAUUCACAAAUCAAUGAUACAUUGAUAAGGAAGAGUCUUAGGAAAAAUGAAAAAUCGCAUGUCAUAUUAUCAAGUGGGACUCUAAUCUGCCUGAGAAUCUGUAACGACAUGACGUGUGCCAACACUCCUGAGCUCUGGAGUUUCCCUGAAGCAGAUGGAAAGCCAUUCACG
Molecule: long non-coding RNA, 283 nt
Filed under: Cavia porcellus (domestic guinea pig)
Lineage: Eukaryota; Metazoa; Chordata; Mammalia; Rodentia; Caviidae
Description: lncRNA (ENSCPOG00000032296.1)
Source: RNAcentral